This 909-nucleotide ribosomal RNA is filed under the name uncultured fungus. RNAcentral describes it as "partial 18S ribosomal RNA". The stretch from base 180 to 333 matches the Rfam family "5.8S ribosomal RNA". Lineage: Eukaryota; Fungi. The record is from RNAcentral.
UCCGUAGGUGAACCUGCGGAGGGAUCAUUACCGAGUUUACAACUCCCAAACCCCUGUGAACAUACCUUACUGUUGCCUCGGCGGAUCAGCCCGCUCCCGGUAAAACGGGACGGCCCGCCAGAGGACCCCUAAACUCUGUUUCUAUAUGUAACUUCUGAGUAAAACCAUAAAUAAAUCAAAACUUUCAACAACGGAUCUCUUGGUUCUGGCAUCGAUGAAGAACGCAGCAAAAUGCGAUAAGUAAUGUGAAUUGCAGAAUUCAGUGAAUCAUCGAAUCUUUGAACGCACAUUGCGCCCGCCAGUAUUCUGGCGGGCAUGCCUGUUCGAGCGUCAUUUCAACCCUCAAGCCCUCGGGUUUGGUGUUGGGGAUCGGCGAGCCUUUCUGGCAAGCCGGCCCCGAAAUACAUUGGCGGUCUCGCUGCAGCCUCCAUUGCGUAGUAGCUAACACCUCGCAACUGGAACGCGGCGCGGCCAUGCCGUAAAACCCCAACUUCUGAAUGUUGACCUCGGAUCAGGUAGGAAUACCCGCUGAACUUAAGCAUAUCAAUAAGCGGAGGAAAUCACUAGUGAAUUCGCGGCCGCCUGCAGGUCGACCAUAUGGGAGAGCUCCCAACGCGUUGGAUGCAUAGCUUGAGUAUUCUAUAGUGUCACCUAAAUAGCUUGGCGUAAUCAUGGUCAUAGCUGUUUCCUGUGUGAAAUUGUUAUCCGCUCACAAUUCCACACAACAUACGAGCCGGAAGCAUAAAGUGUAAAGCCUGGGGUGCCUAAUGAGUGAGCUAACUCACAUUAAUUGCGUUGCGCUCACUGCCCGCUUUCCAGUCGGGAAACCUGUCGUGCCAGCUGCAUUAAUGAAUCGGCCAACGCGCGGGGAGAGGCGGUUUGCGUAUUGGGCGCUCUUUCGCUUCCUCG